UACAGAGGGUGCGAGCGUUAAUCGGAAUUACUGGGCGUAAAGGGCGCGUAGGCGGUUAUGUAAGUUGGAUGUGAAAUCCCUGGGCUUAACCUAGGAACUGCAUACAAUACUGUAUAACUUGAGUGCUGUAGAGGGUAGUGGAAUUUCCGGUGUAGCGGUGAAAUGCGUAGAUAUCGGAAGGAACACCAGUGGCGAAGGCGGCUACCUGGACAGACACUGACGCUGAGGCGCGAGAGCGUGGGGAGCAAACAGG
This 253-nucleotide ribosomal RNA is filed under the name uncultured bacterium. RNAcentral describes it as "partial 16S ribosomal RNA". It matches the Rfam family "Bacterial small subunit ribosomal RNA", at positions 524 to 776 of the family's 1533-position model. The record is from RNAcentral.